UGGGGAAUAUUGCACAAUGGGCGCAAGCCUGAUGCAGCCAUGCCGCGUGUGUGAAGAAGGCCUUCGGGUUGUAAAGCACUUUCAGCGAGGAGGAAGGUGGUGAGCUUAAUACGCUCAUCAAUUGACGUUACUCGCAGAAGAAGCACCGGCUAACUCCGUGCCAGCAGCCGCGGUAAUACGGAGGGUGCAAGCGUUAAUCGGAAUUACUGGGCGUAAAGCGCACGCAGGCGGUUUGUUAAGUCAGAUGUGAAAUCCCCGGGCUCAACCUGGGAACUGCAUUUGAAACUGGCAAGCUAGAGUCUCGUAGAGGGGGGUAGAAUUCCAGGUGUAGCGGUGAAAUGCGUAGAGAUCUGGAGGAAUACCGGUGGCGAAGGCGGCCCCCUGGACGAAGACUGACGCUCAGGUGCGAAAGCGUGGGGCAGCAAACAGGAUUAGAUACCCUGGUAGUCCACGCUGUAAAACGAUGUCGAUUUUGGAGGUUGUGCCCCUUGAGGCGUGGNUUCCGGAGCUAACGCGUUAAAGUCGACCGCCUGGGGAGUACGGCNCAAGGUUAAAACUCAAAUGAAUUGC
Molecule: ribosomal RNA, 570 nt
Filed under: uncultured bacterium
Lineage: Bacteria
Description: partial 16S ribosomal RNA
Rfam family: Bacterial small subunit ribosomal RNA
Source: RNAcentral